Molecule: non-coding RNA, 72 nt
Organism: Phrynosoma platyrhinos (Desert horned lizard)
Lineage: Eukaryota; Metazoa; Chordata; Lepidosauria; Squamata; Phrynosomatidae
Source: the annotation of a GenBank genome assembly
GACAAUGUGGCAUAAUGGUUUGAGUGUUGAAUUAUGAUUCUGGAGACCAGGGUUCGAUUCACAGCUUGGCCA